RNAcentral lists this ribosomal RNA (245 nucleotides) under uncultured bacterium. RNAcentral describes it as "partial 16S ribosomal RNA". It matches the Rfam family "Bacterial small subunit ribosomal RNA", at positions 524 to 768 of the family's 1533-position model. The record is from RNAcentral.
UACGGAGGGUGCAAGCAUUAAUCGGAUUUAUUGGGCGUAAAGGGCGCGUAGGCGGAUUGGUAAGUUUAAUGUGAAAUUCCGAAGCUCAACUUCGGAGCUGCAUUGAAUACUGCUGGUCUAGAGGAUUGGCGGAGGAAAUGGAAUUCCACGUGUAGCGGUGAAAUGCGUAGAUAUGUGGAAGAACACCGGUGGCGAAAGCGAUUUCCUAGAUUAUUCCUGACGCUGAGGCGCGAGAGCAAGGGGAG